GUCUGAGGGAGCACACAUAUAAUCCUUGCUGCAAGGGAAACUGAGGCUGACGGAUCACUUGAGCUCAGGAGCUCUAAGCUGAAGCAGGUUAAGCCAAUCUGUUGUCUACACUAAAUCUAGCAUCAGUAUGAUGAACUCUGAUAGCAGGGGGCCAACAGACUGCCUAUGGAGGGUGCAGACUGUCACAGCUUGGAAAUGAAGCAGGUCAGAAGUUCUCAUGCUAAAAAGCAGUGGGACUGGAACCAUGAGUGACCCCAGCACUUUUAACUUGGGAGAGAUAGGGAGACCCAGUCUCAA
Molecule: signal recognition particle RNA, 297 nt
Filed under: Vombatus ursinus (common wombat)
Lineage: Eukaryota; Metazoa; Chordata; Mammalia; Diprotodontia; Vombatidae
Description: Metazoan signal recognition particle RNA (ENSVURG00010020401.1)
Rfam family: Metazoan signal recognition particle RNA
About the family: The signal recognition particle (SRP) is a universally conserved ribonucleoprotein. It is involved in the co-translational targeting of proteins to membranes.
Source: Rfam by way of RNAcentral